RNAcentral lists this ribosomal RNA (484 nucleotides) under uncultured bacterium. RNAcentral's name for it is "partial 16S ribosomal RNA". It matches the Rfam family "Bacterial small subunit ribosomal RNA", at positions 29 to 507 of the family's 1533-position model. The record is from RNAcentral.
AUUGAACGCUGGCGGCAUGCUUUACACAUGCAAGUCGAACGGCAGCGCGGGCUUUGGCCUGGCGGCGAGUGUCGAACGGGUGAGUAAUGCAUCUGAACGUGCCUAGUAGUGGGGGAUAUCCCGCCGAAAGCCGGAUUAAUACCGCAUACGACCUGAGGGUGAAAGCGGGGGACCGAAAGGCCUCGCGCUAUUGGAGCUGCCGAUGUCGGAUUAGCUAGUUGGUGGGGUAAAGGCUUACCAAGGCGACGAUCCGUAGCUGGUCUGAGAGGACGACCAGCCACACUGGGACUGAGACACGGCCCAGACUCCUACGGGAGGCAGCAGUGGGGAAUUUUGGACAAUGGGGGCAAGCCUGAUCCAGCCAUGCCGCGUGCGGGAAGAAGGCCUUCGGGUUGUAAAGCGCUUUUGUUCGGGAAGAAAUCCUCUGGGCUAAUACCCCGGGGGGAUGACGGUACCGGAAGAAUAAGCACCGGCUAACUACGUG